GAGAGCGGGAAAGGACUGCAGCCGGGGAGAGCAGGACGCGCCAUCUCCAUUGGCACCCUCUCCCGCCCCACUUCCAUCGCUAGAAAACUAAGGAUUCGGUGUUGGGACCACUCCUGCCCUGACCUGCCCUGUGACUCCGUCAUACUCUCCAAAGGCCAGACCCUCCUAGACCAGCUGGAACCACCAUCAAGAUGUCCCCAGCCAUGUCAGACUCUGGGGCCCCAGGCGGAGGGCAACCAGAUGUCUUCAGCUCCAAGUCUGGCCUCUCCUCCCAGCAAGCAGCCAACUGCAGAGACCUUGGAAAGGAUCAACCAUAUACAAUGUCCAUUUCCUGCCCUCUAACCUGGCAGGGGAGCAAGGCCCAGCCAAGGAGGUAACAGAUUCCUCCAACACAAACCACACCUUCCUUCCCCACCCCCACCACCUCCACACCCAGCUGCCUCUGUGGGGACUUCAGGGGGAGAGUGCACACAGUGGGGCCUCAAAGGUUAUGUAGCUUGAAUAAAUGAUCCUCCAGGCCUGGGGAGCCUCUCCGCUCCCUCCCCCAUUUCCUCUGGGAAAGGAAUGUGGGGUGGGCCCCAGAGGGUGGUGGCGGAGGGGGCCCAGGGCUGGGAAAUACCAGG
Molecule: long non-coding RNA, 623 nt
Filed under: Homo sapiens (human)
Lineage: Eukaryota; Metazoa; Chordata; Mammalia; Primates; Hominidae
Description: non-protein coding lnc-SRCIN1-1:25
Source: RNAcentral